Long non-coding RNA from Oncorhynchus tshawytscha (Chinook salmon), 441 nucleotides. The record is from Ensembl. NCBI's taxonomy places the organism in Eukaryota, Metazoa, Chordata, Actinopteri, Salmoniformes, Salmonidae.
AGGAGAGAGAGAUGGAGACGUGGGGAGAGAGAGAUGGAGACGUGGGGAGAGAGAGAGAGAUGGAGACGUGGGGGAGAGAGAGAUGGAGACGUGGGGAGAGAGAGAUGGAGACGUGGGGAGAGAGAAAGAGAUGGAGACAUGGGGAGAGAGAGAAGAAGAGGUGGGGGAGAGAGAGAGUUGUGGAGAGGUGGGGAGAGAGAGAUAUGGAGAGGUGUGGGAGAGAGAGAGAUGGAGAGGUGGGGAGAGAGAGAGAUGGAGAUGUGGGGAGAGAGAGAGAUGGAGACGGGGAGAGAGAGAGAGAGAUGGAGAGGUGGGGAGAGAGAGAGAGAGAUGGAGAGGUGGGGAGAGAGAGAGAUAUGGAGAGGUGGGGAGAGAGAGAGAUGGAGAGGUGGGGAGAGAGAGAGAUGGAGAGGUGGGGAGAGAGAGAGAGAUGGAGAGAUG